GCCUGGGUGGCUCAGUCGGUUGAGCGUCCGACUUCGGCUCAGGUCAUGAUCUCACAGUCCGUGGGUUCGAGCCCCGUGUCGGGCU
This 85-nucleotide transfer RNA is filed under the name Felis catus (domestic cat). It matches the Rfam family "tRNA". From Rfam's summary of the family: Transfer RNA (tRNA) molecules are approximately 80 nucleotides in length. The record is from Rfam by way of RNAcentral. RNAcentral also lists the same sequence under 1 other name. Lineage: Eukaryota; Metazoa; Chordata; Mammalia; Carnivora; Felidae.